AUUGAACGCUGGCGGUAGGCCUAACACAUGCCAGUCGAGCGGAUGAAGGGAGCUUGCUCCUGGAUUCAGCGGCGGACGGGUGAGUAAUGCCUAGGAAUCUGCCUGGUAGUGGGGGAUAACGUCCGGAAACGGGCGCUAAUACCGCAUACGUCCUGAGGGAGAAAGUGGGGGAUCUUCGGACCUCACGCUAUCAGAUGAGCCUAGGUCGGAUUAGCUAGUUGGUGGGGUAAAGGCCUACCAAGGCGACGAUCCGUAACUGGUCUGAGAGGAUGAUCAGUCACACUGGAACUGAGACACGGUCCAGACUCCUACGGGAGGCAGCAGUGGGGAAUAUUGGACAAUGGGCGAAAGCCUGAUCCAGCCAUGCCGCGUGUGUGAAGAAGGUCUUCGGAUUGUAAAGCACUUUAAGUUGGGAGGAAGGGCAGUAAGUUAAUACCUUGCUGUUUUGACGUUACCAACAGAAUAAGCACCGGCUAACUUCGUG
RNAcentral lists this ribosomal RNA (484 nucleotides) under uncultured bacterium. RNAcentral's name for it is "partial 16S ribosomal RNA". It matches the Rfam family "Bacterial small subunit ribosomal RNA", at positions 30 to 507 of the family's 1533-position model. The record is from RNAcentral.